This 465-nucleotide ribosomal RNA is filed under the name uncultured bacterium. Its description in RNAcentral is "partial 16S ribosomal RNA". It matches the Rfam family "Bacterial small subunit ribosomal RNA", at positions 28 to 507 of the family's 1533-position model. The record is from RNAcentral.
GACGAACGCUGGCGGCGUGCUUAACACAUGCAAGUCGAACGGAAAGGCCCUGCUUGCAGGGUACUCGAGUGGCGAACGGGUGAGUAACACGUGGGUGAUCUGCCCUGCACUUCGGGAUAAGCCUGGGAAACUGGGUCUAAUACCGGAUAGGAGCCAUUUUUAGUGUGAUGGUUGGAAAGUUUUUUCGGUGUAGGAUGAGCUCGCGGCCUAUCAGCUUGUUGGUGGGGUAAUGGCCUACCAAGGCGGCGACGGGUAGCCGGCCUGAGAGGGUGGACGGCCACAUUGGGACUGAGAUACGGCCCAGACGCCUACGGGAGGCAGAAGUGGGGAAUAUUGCACAAUGGGCGCAAGCCUGAUGCAGCGACGCCGCGUGGGGGAUGACGGCCUUCGGGUUGUAAACUCCUUUCGCUAGGGACGAAGCUUUUUGUGACGGUACCUAGAUAAGAAGCACCGGCUAACUACGUG